UACGUAGGUGGCGAGCGUUAUCCGGAAUUACUGGGUGUAAAGGGCGUGUAGGCGGCACUGUAAGUCAGAUGUGAAAUCUCCCGGCUCAACCGUGAGCGUGCACUUGAUACUGCAGUACUUGAGUGAUAGAGGGGAAAGCGGAAUUCCUAGUGUAGCGGUAAAAUGCGUAGAUAUUAGGAGGAACACCAGUGGCGAAGGCGACAUUCUGGUCUGUUACUGACACUGAGGCUCGAAAGCGUGGGGAGCAAACAGG
Molecule: ribosomal RNA, 253 nt
Filed under: uncultured bacterium
Lineage: Bacteria
Description: partial 16S ribosomal RNA
Rfam family: Bacterial small subunit ribosomal RNA
Source: RNAcentral